GACGAACGCUGGCGGCGUGCCUAAUACAUGCAAGUUGAGCGCUGAAGGUUGGUACUUGUACCGACUGGAUGAGCAGCGAACGGGUGAGUAACGCGUGGGGAAUCUGCCCUUGAGCGGGGGACAACAUUUGGAAACGAAUGCUAAUACCGCAUAAAAACUUUAAACACAAGUUUUAAGUUUGAAAGAUGCAAUUGCAUCACUCAAAGAUGAUCCCGCGUUGUAUUAGCUAGUUGGUGAGGUAAAGGCUCACCAAGGCGAUGAUACAUAGCCGACCUGAGAGGGUGAUCGGCCACAUUGGGACUGAGACACGGCCCAAACUCCUACGGGAGGCAGCAGUAGGGAAUCUUCGGCAAUGGACGAGAGUCUGACCGAGCAACGCCGCGUGAGUGAAGAAGGUUUUCGGAUCGUAAAACUCUGUUGGUAGAGAAGAACGUUGGUGAGAGUGGAAAGCUCAUCAAGUGACGGUAACUACCCAGAAAGGGACGGCUAACUACGUGCCAGCCGCCGCGGUAA
This 513-nucleotide ribosomal RNA is filed under the name uncultured bacterium. Its description in RNAcentral is "partial 16S ribosomal RNA". It matches the Rfam family "Bacterial small subunit ribosomal RNA", at positions 28 to 523 of the family's 1533-position model. The record is from RNAcentral.